Molecule: ribosomal RNA, 253 nt
Filed under: uncultured bacterium
Lineage: Bacteria
Description: partial 16S ribosomal RNA
Rfam family: Bacterial small subunit ribosomal RNA
Source: RNAcentral
UACGUAGGGUGCGAGCGUUGUCCGGAAUUACUGGGCGUAAAGAGCUCGUAGGUGGUUUGUCGCGUUGUUCGUGAAAACCGGGGGCUUAACCCUCGGCGUGCGGGCGAUACGGGCAGACUCGAGUACUGCAGGGGAGACUGGAAUUCCUGGUGUAGCGGUGGAAUGCGCAGAUAUCAGGAGGAACACCGGUGGCGAAGGCGGAUCUCUGGGCCAUUACUGACGCUGAGGAGCGAAAGCGUGGGGAGCGAACAGG